This 207-nucleotide long non-coding RNA is filed under the name Mytilus galloprovincialis (Mediterranean mussel). Lineage: Eukaryota; Metazoa; Mollusca; Bivalvia; Mytilida; Mytilidae. The record is from RNAcentral.
CCUAAAUAGAGUAUUUAUUAAGAAGAAAUCUAUAUUCUGUAUUGUCCAGGUAUACAAAUUUAGAGAUGUACCAAUCUACAUGACUAGCAGUCGUAUUGGUAUUAAUAAACAAAAUGCAUGGGUUAAUUUAACUAGUUUUUAAAAGCAGUGCUUUAAGGCCUGACUUUCAAGUCAUGAGGUACAUCUUUUCAUACGCGACAUCCAACA